GUCCCGGUGGCGGAACUGGCAGACGCGUACGCUUGAGGGGUGUAUGCCGCAAGGCGUGGAGGUUCGAGUCCUCUCCGGGACAC
This 83-nucleotide transfer RNA is filed under the name Chloroflexi bacterium OLB15. RNAcentral's name for it is "tRNA-Leu". It matches the Rfam family "tRNA". From Rfam's summary of the family: Transfer RNA (tRNA) molecules are approximately 80 nucleotides in length. Lineage: Bacteria; Bacillati; Chloroflexota. The record is from RNAcentral.